Molecule: transfer RNA, 74 nt
Filed under: Sphaerochaeta sp.
Lineage: Bacteria; Pseudomonadati; Spirochaetota; Spirochaetia; Spirochaetales; Sphaerochaetaceae
Also listed under: 1 other name
Description: tRNA-Gly
Rfam family: tRNA
About the family: Transfer RNA (tRNA) molecules are approximately 80 nucleotides in length. Their secondary structure includes four short double-helical elements and three loops (D, anti-codon, and T loops).
Source: RNAcentral
GCGCCUAUCGUAUAAUGGUAUUACCUCAGCCUUCCAAGCUGAAGAAGCGGGUUCGACUCCCGUUGGGCGCUCAA